GAUCCUGCUCAGUGGUCCAGUGGUAAAGCGCUCGCCGCAAAGCCAGAGGGUCCUGGGUUCGAUCCCCAACAGGAUCG
This 77-nucleotide transfer RNA is filed under the name Schistosoma japonicum. RNAcentral's name for it is "tRNA-OTHER". Lineage: Eukaryota; Metazoa; Platyhelminthes; Trematoda; Strigeidida; Schistosomatidae. The record is from RNAcentral.